CUCGAUUCUGAGACAGAUUUGACAUCGUAUGCUUCUAAUAGAUUUCAUCCUCCAUCCAUCAAAUUAAUCUUGCUUGCAGUCCUUUUUUUGUUGACUAUAGGAGGCCAACAAUAUCUACAGAAAAGGAAAAAUUUUAGUUCUCAAAUGAAAGCACUUGCAAACCAUUCCCAUUUCCUAGAGUUUACUCAUACAACAUCACCGGAGAAGAGAUAGGUACUUCUUUUUCUUUGGUUAUUCGCUUUUGUAUUUUUAUUUUAAUUGACACCACAAUCUCCUCAUGUUCAAAUAAGUUUUAUAAGAGAGUGAUGCCAGGUUCAAAAAAGAAAAGAAACUAAUCAAGUAAUGAUGUUCACAAGUUUUGAUGAUCAAUCUGUGUUUCAGUCCAUAGAUAAAUAUUGUGGGUAGCAAAUGCAAAGCUAAAUCGACCAUCAUUGAAUAGCUAUAUUCAUUGCUCACAUAAGAUGCAAAAUUGUUUAAACUAAAUAGAUUUUGAUUUAACAUGUGAUUAUUAUUGUAAUAGGAGGGAGAUGAGGGUUAAGAAUGGAUACAUCGAUGGUAAUGGCAAGAAGUUCUCAUGUGGUGAUUGGUGCCAAGAGUAUGUGUUCCCAGCGACUAUAACCAUUAUUAUCUCACACAUUGCAUAUAUUAUAACCACUUCAUUUUG
RNAcentral lists this long non-coding RNA (664 nucleotides) under Brassica napus (rape). RNAcentral describes it as "long non-coding RNA (BNAP_LNC000794)". Lineage: Eukaryota; Viridiplantae; Streptophyta; Magnoliopsida; Brassicales; Brassicaceae. The record is from RNAcentral.